GGUUGUGGCUCAGUGGUAGAGUGCUUGCCUCAAAUGUGCGAGGCACUGGGUUCAAUUCUCAGCACCG
Molecule: transfer RNA, 67 nt
Filed under: Marmota monax (woodchuck)
Lineage: Eukaryota; Metazoa; Chordata; Mammalia; Rodentia; Sciuridae
Description: tRNA.Leu
Source: RNAcentral